Non-coding RNA from Omnitrophica WOR_2 bacterium, 145 nucleotides. NCBI's taxonomy places the organism in Bacteria, Pseudomonadati, Candidatus Omnitrophota. The record is from Rfam.
GCCGAUAAAGGUAAACCCGGGGAAACCCGGGGACACAAAGCCACAGGCCUACAUUAUCCAAUACCUAAAAGGCCCUUCGGAAACGUCGGGGCAGUUGAAGACCAUUGGACAGGUUGACGAUAAUAUGGCGGCUGGGCUGCCGAAG